CCUACGGGUGGCUGCAGUCGAGAAUCUUCGGCAAUGAGCGCAAGCUUGACCGAGCGACGCCGCGUGCGGGAUGAAGGCCCUCGGGUUGUAAACCGCUGUCGUAAGAAGGGAAAUCUAUCGGGGUUCUCCCCGGUAGUUGACCUGUCUUAGGAGGAAGUCCGGGCUAAGUUCGUGCCAGCAGCCGCGGUAAGACGAACCGGACAAACGUUAGGCGGAAUUACUGGGCUUGAAGGGUUCGUAAGCGAGAUGUGAAAGCCCUCGGCUCAACCGAGGAAGUGCAUUUCAUACUGCGGGGCUGGAGGGAGACAGAGGUAAGCGGAACUGAUGGUGGAGCGGUGAAAUGCGUUGAUAUCAUCAGGAACACCGGUGGCGAAAGCGGCUUACUGGGUCUCUUCUGACGCUGAGGAACGAAAGCUAGGGGAGCGAACGGGAUUAGAUACCCUUGUAGUC
RNAcentral lists this ribosomal RNA (450 nucleotides) under uncultured bacterium. RNAcentral's name for it is "partial 16S ribosomal RNA". It matches the Rfam family "Bacterial small subunit ribosomal RNA", at positions 338 to 795 of the family's 1533-position model. The record is from RNAcentral.